UCGGUGAGGAGCGGCGGACGGGUUAGUAACGCGUGGGAAUAUACCCUUCUCUACGGAAUAGCCUUGGGAAACUGAGAGUAAUACCGUAUAAGCCCUUCGGGGGAAAGAUUUAUCGGUGAAGGAUUAGCCCGCGUUAGAUUAGAUAGUUGGUGGGGUAAUGGCCUACCAAGUCUACGAUCUAUAGCUGGUUUGAGAGGAUGAUCAGCAACACUGGGACUGAGACACGGCCCAGACUCCUACGGGAGGCAGCAGUGGGGAAUCUUAGACAAUGGGCGCAAGCCUGAUCUAGCCAUGCCGCGUGAGUGACGAAGGUCUUAGGAUCGUAAAGCUCUUUCGCCAGAGAUGAUAAUGACAGUAUCUGGUAAAGAAACCCCGGCUAACUCCGUGCCAGCAGCCGCGGUAAUACGGAGGGGGUUAGCGUUGUUCGGAAUUACUGGGCGUAAAGCGUACGUAGGCGGAUUGGAAAGUAGGGGGUGAAAUCCCAGGGCUCAACCC
RNAcentral lists this ribosomal RNA (495 nucleotides) under uncultured Loktanella sp. RNAcentral describes it as "bacterial SSU rRNA". It matches the Rfam family "Bacterial small subunit ribosomal RNA", at positions 85 to 615 of the family's 1533-position model. The record is from RNAcentral. Lineage: Bacteria; Pseudomonadati; Pseudomonadota; Alphaproteobacteria; Rhodobacterales; Roseobacteraceae.